Non-coding RNA from Pelobates cultripes (western spadefoot toad), 482 nucleotides. Lineage: Eukaryota; Metazoa; Chordata; Amphibia; Anura; Pelobatidae. The record is from the annotation of a GenBank genome assembly.
GUAUAUUUUUAGAUCAAACAACCAAUCAAUAAAGGGUUAGAAAUAUCCAUUCUCAAUUUAUCUAACUCCUCAAAGUGUCAGAUAUCCAUUUUAUAAUAAGAGAAGAAAAGCCAUAGAUCUAUAUAUCGUAUAUGGUAUGUGAAUCAACGCACCAGAAAUAAGAAUAUAGAGUCAGACCCUGAAAGGGACUAACAGUGCUAAAAUGUGAUAUGUGGAAAUCGUGCAAUAAAGGGAUCUAAAUGGUCCAAAAGUGUGAACAAUAUGUUAAAGUGUAAAUUUAAAGUGCCAGUUGCUUUCAAGUAUAAUAUUGUAAAGUGCAAAAAAUAGGGCUUUCAAAGUUGAAGCAAAGUGCCAAAGUAAAUGCUAAAAUAGCAGUGGAGAUGAAGUGAACAAUAUUGUUUAAAGUUACGUAAAACUGGGUAACUGGGGUUAAGGCUAUAGAGAAAAAGGCCUAUGAGCAGGUAUAAAGACUAAUGUUCCCA